Molecule: ribosomal RNA, 242 nt
Filed under: uncultured Lactobacillus sp.
Lineage: Bacteria; Bacillati; Bacillota; Bacilli; Lactobacillales; Lactobacillaceae
Description: partial 16S ribosomal RNA
Rfam family: Bacterial small subunit ribosomal RNA
Source: RNAcentral
UAACCUGCCCAAGAGAUCGGGAUAACACCUGGAAACAGAUGCUAAUACCGGAUAACAACAGAUGAUGCCUAUCAACUGUUUAAAAGAUGGUUCUGCUAUCACUCUUGGAUGGACCUGCGGUGCAUUAGCUAGUUGGUAGGGUAACGGCCUACCAAGGCGAUGAUGCAUAGCCGAGUUGAGAGACUGAUCCGGCCACAGUUGGGACUGAGACACGGCCCAAACUCCUACGGGAGGCAGCAGCG